AUUGAACGCUGGCGGCAGGCCUAACACAUGCAAGUCGAGCGGAUGACGGGAGCUUGCUCCUUGAUUCAGCGGCGGACGGGUGAGUAAUGCCUAGGAAUCUGCCUGGUAGUGGGGGACAACGUUUCGAAAGGAACGCUAAUACCGCAUACGUCCUACGGGAGAAAGCAGGGGACCUUCGGGCCUUGCGCUAUCAGAUGAGCCUAGGUCGGAUUAGCUAGUUGGUGAGGUAAUGGCUCACCAAGGCGACGAUCCGUAACUGGUCUGAGAGGAUGAUCAGUCACACUGGAACUGAGACACGGUCCAGACUCCUACGGGAGGCAGCAGUGGGGAAUAUUGGACAAUGGGCGAAAGCCUGAUCCAGCCAUGCCGCGUGUGUGAAGAAGGUCUUCGGAUUGUAAAGCACUUUAAGUUGGGAGGAAGGGCAGUAAGUUAAUACCUUGCUGUUUUGACGUUACCGACAGAAUAAGCACCGGCUAACUACGUGCCAGCCGCCGCAGUAA
Molecule: ribosomal RNA, 500 nt
Filed under: uncultured bacterium
Lineage: Bacteria
Description: partial 16S ribosomal RNA
Rfam family: Bacterial small subunit ribosomal RNA
Source: RNAcentral